This 328-nucleotide ribosomal RNA is filed under the name uncultured eukaryote. Its description in RNAcentral is "partial 18S ribosomal RNA". It matches the Rfam family "Eukaryotic small subunit ribosomal RNA", at positions 1470 to 1796 of the family's 1831-position model. The record is from RNAcentral.
CCCUUAGAUGUCCUGGGCCGCACGCGCGUUACACUGAUGCAUUCAACGAGCUUAUAACCUUGGCCGAGAGGCCUGGGCAAUCUUGUUAACGUGCAUCGUGAUAGGGAUAGAUUAUUGAAAUUAUUAAUCUUGAACGAGGAAUUCCUAGUAAACGCAGAUCAUCAAUCUGCAUUGAUUACGUACCUGCCCUUUGUACACACCGCCCGUCGCACCUACCGAUUGGAUGGUCCGGUGAAGCCUCGGGAUUGUGGUUCUUGCCGCUUUAUUGUGGCGUGACCGCGAGAACUUGUCUAAACCUUAUCAUCUAGAGGAAGGUGAAGUCGUAACA